AGUGGGGAAUCUUAGACAAUGGGCGCAAGCCUGAUCUAGCCAUGCCGCGUGAGUGAUGAAGGCCUUAGGGUCGUAAAGCUCUUUCGCCAGGGAUGAUAAUGACAGUACCUGGUAAAGAAACCCCGGCUAACUCCGUGCCAGCAGCCGCGGUAAUACGGAGGGGGUUAGCGUUGUUCGGAAUUACUGGGCGUAAAGCGCGCGUAGGCGGACCAGUCAGUCAGAGGUGAAAUCCCGGGGCUCAACCCCGGAACUGCCUUUGAUACUGCUAGUCUUGAGUUCGAGAGAGGUGAGUGGAAUUCCGAGUGUAGAGGUGAAAUUCGUAGAUAUUCGGAGGAACACCAGUGGCGAAGGCGGCUCACUGGCUCGAUACUGACGCUGAGGUGCGAAAGCGUGGGGAGCAAA
RNAcentral lists this ribosomal RNA (402 nucleotides) under uncultured Maritimibacter sp. RNAcentral's name for it is "bacterial SSU rRNA". It matches the Rfam family "Bacterial small subunit ribosomal RNA", at positions 353 to 772 of the family's 1533-position model. The record is from RNAcentral. Lineage: Bacteria; Pseudomonadati; Pseudomonadota; Alphaproteobacteria; Rhodobacterales; Roseobacteraceae.